Molecule: ribosomal RNA, 268 nt
Filed under: Aspergillus tamarii
Lineage: Eukaryota; Fungi; Ascomycota; Eurotiomycetes; Eurotiales; Aspergillaceae
Description: partial large subunit ribosomal RNA
Rfam family: Eukaryotic large subunit ribosomal RNA
Source: RNAcentral
UCCCAGUCCGAUAGCGAACAAGUAGAGUGAUCGAAAGAUGAAAAGCACUUUGAAAAGAGAGUUAUAAAGCACGUGAAAUUGUUGAAAGGGAAGUGCUUGCGACCAGACUCGCCUCCAGGGUUCAGCCGGCAUUCGUGCCGGUGUACUUCCCUGGGGGCGGGCCAGGGUCGGUUUGGGCGGCCGGUCAAAGGCUCCCGGAAUGUAGUGCCCUUCGGGGCACGUUAUAGCCGGGAGUGCAAUGCGUUCCAGCCUGACCGAGGAACGCGUU